AAGAGUCUAAUAUUUAAGAAAAAGUUGAAAUACAGAAACUCUUCUAGUGAUGGAAUGAAGAAACCUAAGGGGUUUCAAGGCUUUGUAUCUAAUGGGAAAAAGAGUGGCUCAAAUGAGGGUACAAUAGUGGAAGGUGCAACUUUUGUUGAUGGUAAUAUGGGAGUGAAGGAUACCGAAAAACGGGUAGAUAAGAAAAUCAAGGAUAGUGUUUU
Molecule: unclassified non-coding RNA, 212 nt
Filed under: Hevea brasiliensis (rubber tree)
Lineage: Eukaryota; Viridiplantae; Streptophyta; Magnoliopsida; Malpighiales; Euphorbiaceae
Source: RNAcentral